CUGCAUUCUAAAAGAAACCAUUACAAAAAUAAGGAAAAAUGAAUUUUACAAACUAUGUCAUAUGUUUUCUUUGUUUCCUCAAUAUAACUCUGAUUAGAAUGUCAAACAAAGAUAAAAUCAUCCGUAUUAAUAGUCAAUAUCGUGUAUAUUAUUAAUAUGAGCGUCUUUGCGUUAAAUUCGUGCUACACCACACCAUGCACUUAUAUCGACGUCGCAAUGCAAAAGAAGAAGGGCAAGAAAGAAACCUGUCCUGGUCUGGCGAUUUAAGGGGACAUUUGUUUAAGCCUGUCUAGAUCUUUUAUCAGUCUAGAAAGAUGUUGGAGAAAAGACAUCAUCCUCUUCUAUAAUCUCCAUCUGUAAUUGGACUAACAACUGGACCAGUCAAUGCAGGCAACUUACUCUCCAUUCGACCUUGCAGGUCACACCAUGGUCUCAAGAGGGAAAAUGAGUGCUCUAUGGAUUGAACAGAAAAAGGUGAAUCAAAACUCCAACCAUCUGUAUGAGGGUCUGGAUGGAUAAAGGAUGCCCACUGGAGCUGGAAAUGAUGGAUCAGGUGGAUCCACACUUGAACCAUCUGUAUGAUGAUCUGCACCCACUGGAUCUGUAAAUGGUGGUGCAGAAUUCUGGCCUGGUGUUUGGUCCCCCUUUCUCUGGCUUGUGUCUCCAUCAUCAUUACACUCUUGUCAGUGUAAAAGUAUCCUCGUCUGCGUACCAGGACUUUGUUACUCAGCUGUCCCUUCUCCUUCAAGCUACAUUUUUGUCAAGCUGCAACAAGUUGGAAUACAUAAUUAUUAACGUUUAAUGAUUUUGAUGUAUGAAAUAUGUAACAAAAGCAAAAAAUGUAUAGACAUUCUAUUAAGAAAUUACCUUUUUGUUGUUUGUUUACUGACCUUUCAACCAUAUUGCAUUUAUAAUUGAUCAUCAUACCUUUGGUCUACUGUUAACAGGCUACUGUAGAAAACAAAGUCAAACAAAAAAGAGAGAAAAAAUUAUAAAUGCUGAAUGUGUCUCAUCUUAAAUACAUUGUUGUUGUUUUUGUUUAAUUGAUUUUGGAUGUUUUGAUGAUUUAAGGAAAAUUUACGUAGCAUAUAUAUUGAUGUUUUAAAUCAGAGUUUGUUAAUGACACUUAAUCAUUAACAAACAUUUAAAAAGCUUUAUUACAAUACUAAUUGAUAAUAUAUAUGUAAUAAUCUUGUUUUGUAACACCCUAAAUCACUGAGCGCACAAACGCUACCCCUGUUACAAGCAUGAGUGAUUGACUUCAGGCACACAUGCGCAGACAUUGAAGUACCGCGAGAGUGAUUCAAAAGCCCACGAAACAGUGUAAUCACGCGGUACUGUGAUGUCAUACUGGUUAAGGCUAAGCCACGUGAAGCCGGACACAAGGGCUUUGGGCUGGAGUAGCCUGUGGCUUUUAAGGCUUCGUGUCUCAUCGCGUUAAACGAUCGCAGAACGAUUUAUUUCUCUUUUUCACCUCGAUCUUUGGCCUCGUGUGAUUUACCAAAACCAACAUGUGAAGUUACAACGCUGACGAAGGAGUUUCAUCAGUAGAGUGUGUCCUGGAAAACGUGUGCUCGGAAACAUGCAGAAUACAGUAUUUACAGAGCCGACCUUGAGGCACCCACUGAUGGAUAAUCUGUUUACCUAAAAACAGCCCACCACAAUCCAUGUUUACCAGCUGUGAAAGUGCAGGCCAAAAAUCUUCCUUCACCUGUGGGCCUCUACCCACAUGUAGAUAAGCAUUUCAGGAGAAACCUGCCUGUGAUCUGCUAAGAUGCACAGAUUCAACUCUGGCCCAUUGUCAUCCCAACACCUCAUCUGCCAUCAGUUUCGUUUAGUGUCGGUCUAUUGCAAAAGUUCUUAUAAACUUUAAAUGAGACUUUGUGUUAAGCAGGGGUUUCCAAACUUUUCAUUCCACAACAUAUUAAGCCCAGGAUACACAGCAGGAUUUUUGCAAUCCAAUAAGACCUUAUCACACUGUGUGACAAGGAUUGUUUAAACUUCAGCAGUAGACUGUCGAUGAAGACACCUAUUGCAUCUGAAGCUGCGACAUCUGUCAUCAACAUGCGCUAGUGGUAAACAAAUACAGGUAUGCAGGUCGUAGAAGCAAACACAUUGUUGAUGUGCGUUGAUCAUGCUGAACUUCUUACACUGUCAUAAAACUAUCGUAGGUGUCUUUGGUCCCAGGACUGGGAAAACAGACGUCUUUAAACCUCUCACACUGUAUGAGAUAGGACCACCAAUUAAGAGCCACGAUCACAGAAAUCUCCACAAUUGUUUCACGAUUGGUAAUCUUUCAUCUGGGACAGCCAAAAAUCGUGCCGUGUAUUAUGGGCUUUAGACAGGUGUAAUCUUAUAGUAUAUCAAAACCAUUGCUAAUAAUUAAUUGGACAAACCAUCACUACAAUGCAACACUCACUAUCUUACGGUGCGACCCACAAGUGGGUCUUCACCCACAGUUUAAAAACCCUGAGUAUGAGAAAGAGUAUGUUGUAUUGUAAUUAAAGUCACAUCUAAGUGUUAUGGAACAGUUUGUCAUUAUAUUCACAGUAUUACAUGGUUCUUUCAGCAGUUACUACGUUACAGUGCUCUUAAAGUGUCCUGAUCAGCUUUGGGUCUUGUGAAGUAAUGUAAUGAGAACGUGAUCAAUAGCUUUGCAGUAUUUUGUUACACUGUGGCUGUAAUCAUAUUAACACAUAGGUUAAACAUUUUAUUCAAAUUUGGUAAACAAACUAGUCAAUAUAAUUCAUGCUGUGAUGCUGGAUUAAACCUGGUCAAAUGAU
Molecule: long non-coding RNA, 2783 nt
Organism: Paramisgurnus dabryanus
Lineage: Eukaryota; Metazoa; Chordata; Actinopteri; Cypriniformes; Cobitidae
Source: RefSeq, a predicted model, not a curated record